Molecule: ribosomal RNA, 46 nt
Filed under: Hypoderma rubi
Lineage: Eukaryota; Fungi; Ascomycota; Leotiomycetes; Rhytismatales; Rhytismataceae
Description: partial 18S ribosomal RNA
Rfam family: Eukaryotic small subunit ribosomal RNA
Source: RNAcentral
AAGUGGUAACAAGGUUUCCGUAGGUGAACCUGCGGAAGGAUCAUUA